This 295-nucleotide unclassified non-coding RNA is filed under the name uncultured fungus. Its description in RNAcentral is "partial contains small subunit ribosomal RNA, internal transcribed spacer 1, and 5.8S ribosomal RNA". The stretch from base 1 to 73 matches the Rfam family "Eukaryotic small subunit ribosomal RNA", at positions 1759 to 1831 of the family's 1831-position model. Lineage: Eukaryota; Fungi. The record is from RNAcentral.
UCAAACUUGGUCAUUUAGAGGAAGUAAAAGUCGUAACAAGGUCUCCGUUGGUGAACCAGCGGAGGGAUCAUUACCGAGUUUUCUGACUCCCAAACCCACUGUGAACCUUACUAUUUGUUGCUUCGGCGGUACCGCCCCGGCGCCUUCGGGCCCGGACCACGGCGCCCGCCGGAGGCCCGCAAACUCUCUUUGAAUACCGCGCCGCGGUUUUGAAUCUUCUGAGUUGUAUGUUAUAAAACGCAUCAAAACUUUCAACAACGGAUCUCUUGGUUCUGGCAUCGAUGAAGAACGCAGC